CACGUAGGGUGCGAGCGUUGUCCGGAAUUAUUGGGCGUAAAGAGCUCGUAGGCGGUGUGUCGCGUCGGCCGUGAAAACCUGCAGCUUAACUGUGGGCUUGCGGUCGAUACGGGCAUCACUGGAGUUCGGCAGGGGAGACUGGAAUUCCUGGUGUAGCGGUGAAAUUCGUAGAUAUCGGGAGGAACACCGGUGGCGAAGGCGGCGACCUGGGUAGAUACUGACGCUGAGGCGCGAAAGCGUGGGGAGCAAACAGG
This 254-nucleotide ribosomal RNA is filed under the name uncultured bacterium. Its description in RNAcentral is "partial 16S ribosomal RNA". It matches the Rfam family "Bacterial small subunit ribosomal RNA", at positions 524 to 776 of the family's 1533-position model. The record is from RNAcentral.